UAGCUCUCUGUUUUCUACGUAUUUUUUCUUGCCUCUGCCCAUCUUCUGAAUCAACAUGCAAACUCUCAUCUUGAUUCUCGCCGUCGGAGUUCCACAGCCUACUCAUGGAGGAUUAUCGAUGGCUAAUGAAUUCGAGAAACACUAGAUUCUUUUUUUUAGCUCUCUCUUCUCUAAGAACUCUAACCCUAGGCUGUUUUUGAUUUGUUUUUGUUCGAUUUCUCCCUCACCCUCUUAUUCAUCCCUGGGACUGAUAAGAGAUUCUCUUUUAUCAUUAUAUGAUUCUUUUGCCAUUUAUUACUGAUGUUUGUUUCUUUGUAGUAGUUGAACCGGGAAAUAGACGCGAAGGUUUCAUUUAGUUCUUGAACUGAAUACUUAUUACAGAAACCAAUUGCACCUAAGGAAUGAUCACCACAGUAGAAGAAGAAAUUAGGAUCGAAGUUAAAGAGGUUUUUUUGGUUUGGUGAGACAAUCUCAGUGUUUUUCAUCGAAACUGGAGUCGGUGGUGCAAGUUUAAUUGCUCAUAGUUGGAAUUUCCUCUCAUUUGCGUGCAGGGAAUGAUUUUAAUUGAAUGUGGAUGCUUGCAUUCUGGCCUCAUGGAAAUCCACCAGUUGUUGAAGGAUAAAUUUGGUGGAUUCAGGUGCCCACAGUAGCAAUUACAUACUGAAAUAUGACAAAGUUAGCUCUAGCUAUAAACUUGAUCACAUAUUUCAACGGGGUGAUGCAUUUUAACCAAGCUAAUGCAUCUAAAAUUCUCGUAGACAAUGUUCCUUUUCUUUUCUUUUCAUUUCUUCUCUUUUCUUUUAUAUUGGUUUAAUGAUACGGACAUAUCUUCUGCUAAGAUGUUGCUACUUACUUGGAGAUGAUAGGAGUCUAAAUUGUUGACAUUUGCUUGGCUAUACAAGGUCCAAAGUUGAUAGUGUUCGAUCAACUUUCAGGAGCUCUAUUCUACUUGCCGAAGGUGAAAUGUAUUGGUUACAUUUCCGUUUAGGAUUUGAACUGGUGUUAUAGUAUAAGCGCAGCAUCUGGCAAGUGGUGGGAAAUUAUCAUUGAUAGCUGCAGCAUAUGAGAAGGCAUAAAUGUCACUGUCCAUGUUUGCACUUGCUGCGUUAACUAAUUAAUGAGUUUAGUGGUACAAGCAAUAUUCUUACCUUUGAAUUGUGCAUAUCCAACACUGCCUCAAUUUCAUUUAGAUUCUUAGCAACUGAAUUUGAAUAUUUUUGAAAUCCUAUCAUUGAUUAGUUUGGGUAUUAGAGAUUGCAUAGCAUUAUGUGAAUUUUAUGAAAUGAAACUGUUGACAGAAUUUUGCUCUACAGAGACCCAGGGGUACUGAGGCUCAAGUACGUGCUUGCUUAUUGAGUUUUUUUUUUUUUUUUUUCUUCUUAUUGAAGAAAUAAUUUUUUUUCUUUAGAUGAGCCAUAAGAAAUCUAUCUUAGGCAUCAUAAUGCUUCCUAAGUCAGUUGUAGCAUUUUUUUUUUCAAAAGAUUGGAAUAACAGGUAGGCAACGUACGGACCAUCUUCAAACAAAUAGUGAUAGUGUACAUUAAAGAUGAUUGAUCUCCAAGAAUUCGCUUGACGUCUCCUUCUUCUCCAAAUCCAUGAGUUCUGUAUGUAAGGGAAAUUCUUCUUCAAAGUAGAUAGUGAUAAGAAAUGUUUUAGAAGAUAUCUGAGAUUUUCUUUAACCCCAAAUGAUGCGGCGUCUUGGGUAAAAAUAACUUCCUAAGAAGAAAUUAAAGAUUUCUCAUGACGUGAAGCAAAAUAAGAAUGUUGCAAACUAUUCCUUCUUUAUCGGCGGCCUCAUUCCUCUUGACGAAGCUACAAAAAAGAUGGCCUUGGAGAUAAUCAAGCAGAUGAGGUAACACUUAUGAGCACCUAUGUUCUUCUUAAAUAUAAGUAAAUUGCAUUGCGUCCAUGUAUUUUUAUACUGAAAAUACAAGUUGUUCCAGUGUCAUUUGAUUGCUUUUAUGCUGAUACAUUAUUUAUGCCUUGAGGAAAAGAAGGUUUUAUGUGUUUUCAGUAGAACAAUUUUUGGUUUUGAAAAGUAGACUACAUUUAAAGGUGAAACUGGCACCUUUGUAUAGGACUCGUAUACUUAACACAUGGACUUUUCAACCACUUUAUCACCUUUUUUGGAGAUGGUUCUUGCAAUUCAGAUUAUCUAAUGUAGUAUUCUGUUCUCAAUCAACUCAGCAUUGAAACAUUGGUAGUUUAGAGUGACAUCUUCAACAACAAAAGUCUGCAAGAUUAAACAUUGGUAGUAUUCUGUUCUUGCAAUUCAUAUACCUUUCUUGGAAUUACCUUUUUUUGGUUUGGCGUUUUUAAACUGUUUUGUUGUGUAUAGGUGGAUGGAAAUCAUGUAUUCCUUCUUGGAAUUACCUUUUUUUGGUUUGGCGUUUUCGAACUGUUUUGUUGUGUAUAGGUGGAUGGAAAUCAUGAAUGUGGAAGGUGAAUUCAAAUGUGUUGACCAAGGGGGUUUGGAGAACGUAUCGAUUUUCCUGAACACUUGGACACUAACGAGGAAAAUUUAGAGGAGACUUUUGUCAACUGGGUUAGUGUGUCUGAACAUAAAAUGAAUGAGAAUUACCAGGGACAAUGGAAUAUAUUCCAGGUUUGGUGCAACUUGCAAGAGAACUACAAUUGCAAUGGUGAGAUUCCUUCUCUAGGAUCAGCUUUCCUACAGGCAACCAAAAGUUAUGGUGUUUCGUGAGGAUCUUAUCCAAAUUGUUAUAUAACUUGAGGAGUAUAAGGGGAUUAAGGAAGCUCUCUUCUCGCUAUCUUUUUAUGCUUAUGAAUCGUUUGCUCUUUCUAAGUGUCUAAGUGUUACUAAUUGUAUCGAAUCCCACUUACAUCGGAAAUGGUACAAGCUGUCUUAGCUCACAAGGAAGAGCACAUGGUUUUCAACCGUGUAGGUGUGGGUUCGACUCCCAUAGAUGGCAUUAUUAUUUGACGUGGCAGACGCAUCAAAAUGUUGAGUCCAUGUUCACUUAAGGGGUCUGUGAUGGACUGCGCCUAACAGUCUGUAUCACGUGCAGAUCCAUCCUUGGUACCUUUGACUUUGACACCAGUUGGAGAUUUGACUGGCCAGGUCGAUAGAAGGGCAUUUGACCAACAAAAUCGUCGUUAAAGAGGAGCUACGUUGUGAGCUGGGAGAAGCAUGGAAAGAAAUCCAAUAACAAACCCUUUAUAAUCUCAACAAACAACGGACAAGUCACAUUAUGUGAAAUAAGGGAUUAUCAUAACCCAAACCACUGAAAGUGUGCACAAGAACAAGUCACACCUGAUAAUAGUUAUACAAAAUAGGAAAACAGGAGUAUUCAAGAUAAUUUUUAUAUGCAAGUAGGUGAAGUUUUAAUUUUACAAAUAAUUAGAGAACGUCAAAGAAAAAAUGUAUCUUUUUGCAAAAUUGUUGAAACUCAUGUUGGACUAAUUUAUCAUCACAAGUUGAAUUUUUGAUAUAAGUUUCACGAUUAGAACUGGGUUCC
Molecule: long non-coding RNA, 3479 nt
Organism: Papaver somniferum (opium poppy)
Lineage: Eukaryota; Viridiplantae; Streptophyta; Magnoliopsida; Ranunculales; Papaveraceae
Exons: 5
Source: RefSeq, a predicted model, not a curated record